Molecule: transfer RNA, 73 nt
Filed under: Neotoma lepida (desert woodrat)
Lineage: Eukaryota; Metazoa; Chordata; Mammalia; Rodentia; Cricetidae
Rfam family: tRNA
About the family: Transfer RNA (tRNA) molecules are approximately 80 nucleotides in length.
Source: Rfam by way of RNAcentral
AGGGAUGUAGUUNGGUUGGUAGAGUGCUUGCCUGGCAUGCAAGAAGUCCUGGGUUUGAUCCCAAGCACCUCAC